GGGGGCGUAGGUCAGAUGGUAGAGCGCUCGCUUCGCAUGCGAGAGGUACGGGGAUCGAUACCCCGCGUCUCCA
RNAcentral lists this transfer RNA (73 nucleotides) under Nephila pilipes (giant wood spider). It matches the Rfam family "tRNA". Rfam says of the family: Transfer RNA (tRNA) molecules are approximately 80 nucleotides in length. Their secondary structure includes four short double-helical elements and three loops (D, anti-codon, and T loops). Further hydrogen bonds mediate the characteristic L-shaped molecular structure. tRNAs have two regions of fundamental functional importance: the anti-codon, which is responsible for specific mRNA codon recognition, and the 3' end, to which the tRNAs corresponding amino acid is attached (by aminoacyl-tRNA synthetases). tRNAs cope with the degeneracy of the genetic code in two manners: having more than one tRNA (with a specific anti-codon) for a particular amino acid; and 'wobble' base-pairing, i.e. permitting non-standard base-pairing at the 3rd anti-codon position. Lineage: Eukaryota; Metazoa; Arthropoda; Arachnida; Araneae; Nephilidae. The record is from Rfam by way of RNAcentral.